Long non-coding RNA from Daucus carota subsp. sativus, 818 nucleotides. RefSeq lists it as uncharacterized. The transcript is spliced from 3 exons. The record is from RefSeq and is a predicted model, not a curated record. NCBI's taxonomy places the organism in Eukaryota, Viridiplantae, Streptophyta, Magnoliopsida, Apiales, Apiaceae.
UAAGUGGUAAUCUAUAUCCCGCAAUCAUCUCUCCUGCGAAACCAUAGUGCAAGGUAUAAUCCAGUACUUUCUUUGUUCUUCGUAGUACAUUGAAUUUGUGUUGACUGGCAUUAGAGAAAGUAGUGCGGAACAAAUGACAACAGAGUCGAAAAUGGGUCUGGAUCGAAUGAGGAAGUCCUGCAGUUUAGAUGUCCGCAGUCCAAGAAUGAAUGAUAAUAGGCUGAAAAGAAUGGAGUUAAGCAAGGGAGAAGACGAAUUUGUUACUUUGGGGAAGAAUAUUGGCAAUAGUGGGAAUAAAAGGGCAGUGUUGGAGGGGAGUAUUGUUCGAGCACAAUCUUCAGUUAGAAGAACACGUGAAGGAUUAUUUUCGACAGUGAGUAGUAGUGUGGCUCAACGAAUUUAAGAGGCUGAUAUGGUUGUUGUUCAAAAGAGCACGCAGAACUGAUCACGAUCAAGAGUUAUUGAUCGGCGAACAACUAAGAAGUACUACAAGGGGAAAAAGUCAGAUCAUAUGAAGGGUGCAUACAGAAAAAAUUUCACCUUCAAUCAUGACAAAUGUCCUACUUAAUCUUUCAGAGGCACAGACAAAAUGGGUGAAAAUCAGAAAAAUGUUCUCCACAAGCUCACCGUGCGCUUACCUUGAAUUAUCUUGUUAAGUAUAGUAUGUGCAAAUUGCACCAAAUGUGAACUGGAUGAUUAAUAAUUCGUAGUGAUUGUAAAUUUAAUUUGGAUGUGUCGAACAAGUGACACUGCACUAAAUUUGGAUAAUCUGAAUUGUUCAGCGUUAUUUUUAUAUUAAGUAAUUUGGAUUAUACAUU